GACUACCACUUCAUGAGCCCCAGCCAGUAUGGAGAACACAUCUGGAGGACAUCAGGUUAUGUUCAAACCAGAUCUCUUCAUUCUGAGAUGCAGUGGAAGCAUAAAACAAAUUGACAUCUUUUUUCUUCUCCAGAGCAAUUGAACUGUUUAAUACUUUUAAAAGUUAUAAUAUUGUUACCCCA
This is a long non-coding RNA of Rhineura floridana, 182 nucleotides long. RefSeq lists it as uncharacterized. Lineage: Eukaryota; Metazoa; Chordata; Lepidosauria; Squamata; Rhineuridae. The record is from RefSeq and is a predicted model, not a curated record. The transcript is spliced from 2 exons.